This 492-nucleotide unclassified non-coding RNA is filed under the name Athalia rosae (coleseed sawfly). RNAcentral's name for it is "misc RNA ENSAEAG00005009581.1". The record is from RNAcentral. Lineage: Eukaryota; Metazoa; Arthropoda; Insecta; Hymenoptera; Athaliidae.
AAUCGAGAUAAUCAAAUUUAUUAGCUAUUCUAAGUACCGAACUAGCGGCAACUUGAUUAAUUUGACAAAUCACUUAAUUCAAUCAACAAAUUCAGCUAUACCUAACGUCAAACGCACUAUUUAAAUUUUUUACAGUAUGUUAUAGGUAAACUGAUCUUUGCAUUUCAACUUUAAUUGUCAAGGUAUCCUCCUCGGAGAUACUCAUCAUGAGAAUUGAGCAAAGUUUUCUGAGAGUCACCAUGUAUAAACACCUGACGAUUGAAUGACACGAUUCUUCUGCUCGAUGGCUGAAUAUAUCAGCAUCUGUUCAGAAUAUCUAAACCGUAUAUGCCACAGAUUGUACUCCCUACACUGUACUAACUGUUUGGUCUAAGACUAAGGUAUGAUUCAUGGAAAAAUAGUGAGCUAUGGCAACAAUUCGCACAGUUAUUCCAGAUGUGAGCGCACUUUGUUUGAAACAAACUCUAAACCUUUUUAACAUUGGUAUCUUGU